UAAACACUUGGACAGCUACAAAACCAGAAGAGCAUGCUGCCUGCCCUCCCACGCCAGGCCCUUUUGCUUUAGAGAUCUUGCUGAUUUUGAGAUCUGACCUUUGAACUGCUGGUGGUUGGGGUUUUUUUUUCCUCCCUCUUCCCGAGCUUUUAAUUCCCGCUUUUCUGUUUUAAAUUCACAAAUAAAGAGAGAGCCCAUGAGCACCCUUGACUCUGAUGAAAGCAGACCCCAGACUCUACCCCGCUCCCCGCGUUUGCCCUCUACUGUGACUUCUGCGCUCCAGGACUUGUAAGUAAUCAAGCCUCCUCCCCCCGACACGCCAAUUUCCUAAUGGUUAUCGCUGAGGACAUCUUGCAGUCAUACUGAGAACCACGAAGACUAGUCCAGCCACAGUACUGGUUAGUGAGGGGCUGAGAGCGGCACACAACAUUGUCCCACUGAAUCAAGUCCGACAGCCUGAAGUGGUAUACUCCCUGAGAGCUGCUCUUUUUAAUAUAGAAGCCUGAGUUCAAACCUUGAUUGCCUGGAAUUGAACUUCCAUGUAAAGAAUUGUUCCGGAUAGUCUACUUUGCUGAAUCUUCAGAUCCUAUGACCUGGGAAACCUGCAGAGAAUAAACUUCUGAGGUGAAGAUGAAGAAACAGAAGCACAGAAAGGUUGAGUGAUUUUCCUAAUAUCACACAGCCAGAAAAUGGAGCUAGAACUUGAACUCAGCAGUCUGGCCUUAGAAUCUCUGCAGUCAAACACUAUAUUCUUCAUAUUAAGGUAUGUGGUUCUUUUUUGCUUUAAAUCAUAUUGUUAUGUAGAUGACUCUGAGUUGAAACUUAGAAUGAUUAUAUAAUUUGAUCAAAGUCAUGUAGAUAGAGAACUAUUUCCUCAGUACUCAGGAAUUUUAGGGGAUGUGUGAAACAAAAAGAACCAUAGAGACCAUUUAGUCUCCUUUGUUUCAUAGAUGGUGAGACAGAGAGGCAAAUUGAACAUCAUGUUACUGCUUAGUGGUGAAGCUUAGCCUUAAUUUCUUUCCUGGGUCUUAGUCCCAUACAUUUUUCAUCCAUAAUAAAUGGAAAAGUUGCAAGAAAGAUUUUCCAAUGCAGUUAUCAGUUGAGCACAAUUCAGGAGAAUUUUUACACUAUUAGUGACAUUCAGUACCAGAAGGAGUUAGUUUGUAAAGGAAGAAAGUCUUUGUUACCAGAUGUUUCCAAGUAGAUGUAGACAUAGAUUGUCCUUCUGCAAGGGAUGUUAUAGAAAGGAGGGAAACAUGGGUCACCUGGGUGGCUUUGUUCGUUGA
Felis catus (domestic cat) is the source of this 1286-nucleotide long non-coding RNA. RefSeq lists it as uncharacterized. The transcript has 3 exons. Lineage: Eukaryota; Metazoa; Chordata; Mammalia; Carnivora; Felidae. The record is from RefSeq and is a predicted model, not a curated record.